RNAcentral lists this ribosomal RNA (133 nucleotides) under Ignavibacteriales bacterium CG12_big_fil_rev_8_21_14_0_65_30_8. RNAcentral describes it as "partial 23S ribosomal RNA". It matches the Rfam family "Bacterial large subunit ribosomal RNA", at positions 2810 to 2925 of the family's 2925-position model. The record is from RNAcentral. Lineage: Bacteria; Pseudomonadati; Ignavibacteriota; Ignavibacteria; Ignavibacteriales.
UAUCCCCCCCGAUUUAUCGGGGCUAAAGACUCCUCGAAGAUUACGAGGUUGAUAGGCUGUAAGUGUAAGUGCAGUAAUGUAUUCAGCUGAGCAGUACUAAUAGGUCGUGAGGCUUAACCAUUAAAUUUUUAUU